GGGUCAGGAGGUUGGUCGUGCCACCGGUACGUACUGGUCUCACUGAUUCCUCCUUCCUGAAGAACCGUAAUGCCAUUAAUUUGGUGUUGCGGGGAAACAGGACUGUUACUUUGAAAAAAUUAGAGUGUUUAAAGCAAGCUAACGCUUGAAUACAUUAGCAUGGGAUAAUGAAAUAGGACGAUCGAUCCUAUUUUGUUGGUUUCUAGGAUUGACGUA
RNAcentral lists this ribosomal RNA (216 nucleotides) under Glomeromycotina sp. Its description in RNAcentral is "partial small subunit ribosomal RNA". The stretch from base 40 to 216 matches the Rfam family "Eukaryotic small subunit ribosomal RNA", at positions 686 to 864 of the family's 1831-position model. Lineage: Eukaryota; Fungi; Glomeromycota. The record is from RNAcentral.